This 260-nucleotide ribosomal RNA is filed under the name uncultured Bacillota bacterium. RNAcentral's name for it is "uncultured Firmicutes bacterium partial 16S ribosomal RNA". It matches the Rfam family "Bacterial small subunit ribosomal RNA", at positions 338 to 590 of the family's 1533-position model. The record is from RNAcentral. Lineage: Bacteria; Bacillati; Bacillota.
CCUACGGGAGGCAGCAGUAGGGAAUCUUCCACAAUGGGCGCAAGCCUGAUGGAGCAACACCGCGUGAGUGAAGAAGGGUUUCGGCUCGUAAAGCUCUGUUGUUAAAGAAGAACACGUAUGAGAGUAACUGUUCAUACGUUGACGGUAUUUAACCAGAAAGUCACGGCUAACUACGUGCCAGCAGCCGCGGUAAUACGUAGGUGGCAAGCGUUAUCCGGAUUUAUUGGGCGUAAAGAGAGUGCAGGCGGUUUUCUAAGUCU